UACGGAGGGAGCUAGCGUUGUUCGGAAUUACUGGGCGUAAAGCGCACGUAGGCGGCUUUUUAAGUCAGGGGUGAAAUCCCGGGGCUCAACCCCGGAACUGCCCUUGAAACUGGAGAGCUAGAAUCUUGGAGAGGCGAGUGGAAUUCCGAGUGUAGAGGUGAAAUUCGUAGAUAUUCGGAAGAACACCAGUGGUGAAGGCGACUCGCUGGACAAGUAUUGACGCUGAGGUGCGAAAGCGUGGGGAGCAAACAGG
RNAcentral lists this ribosomal RNA (253 nucleotides) under uncultured bacterium. RNAcentral describes it as "partial 16S ribosomal RNA". It matches the Rfam family "Bacterial small subunit ribosomal RNA", at positions 524 to 776 of the family's 1533-position model. The record is from RNAcentral.